Small nuclear RNA from Rattus norvegicus (Norway rat), 106 nucleotides. Ensembl annotates it as U1 spliceosomal RNA. The record is from Ensembl. NCBI's taxonomy places the organism in Eukaryota, Metazoa, Chordata, Mammalia, Rodentia, Muridae.
AUAUUUACCUGGAAGAGGAGAUACCAUGACCAGGAAAGUGGUUUUCCCGAGGGAGACUUGCUCACUGCACUCUAGGUAUGCUGAACCCUGUGACUUCCUGAGGAGC